This 283-nucleotide ribosomal RNA is filed under the name Triparma pacifica. RNAcentral describes it as "partial Bacterial large subunit ribosomal RNA". It matches the Rfam family "Bacterial large subunit ribosomal RNA", at positions 726 to 1006 of the family's 2925-position model. Lineage: Eukaryota; Bolidophyceae; Parmales; Triparmaceae. The record is from RNAcentral.
CGAUCUAUCCAUGUCCAGGGUGAAGUUGUGGUAACACACAAUGGAGGCCCGAACUCACGCCUGUUGAAAAAGUCGGAGAUGAGGUGUGGAUAGGAGUGAAAGGCUAAUCAAGGCAGGUGAUAGCUGGUUCUCCUCGAAAGCUAUUGAGGUAGCGCCUCGUGUCUAACUACCGGGGGUAGAGCACUGUUUCGACUAGGGGGGACACAAGUCCUUACCAAAUCGAUGCAAACUCCGAAUACCGGUAAGUUCAAUCACGGGAGACACACGGUGGGGGCUAAAUUUC